RNAcentral lists this ribosomal RNA (492 nucleotides) under uncultured bacterium. Its description in RNAcentral is "partial 16S ribosomal RNA". It matches the Rfam family "Bacterial small subunit ribosomal RNA", at positions 29 to 507 of the family's 1533-position model. The record is from RNAcentral.
AUUGAACGCUGGCGGCAUGCUUUACACAUGCAAGUCGAACGGUAACAGGCCUUCGGGUGCUGACGAGUGGCGAACGGGUGAGUAAUGCAUCGGAACGUACCCAGAGGUGGGGGAUAACGCAGCGAAAGCUGUGCUAAUACCGCAAGUGAUCUGAGGAUGAAAGCGGGGGACCGAGCAGCAAUGUUUGGCCUCGCGCCUUUGGAGCGGCCGAUGUCGGAUUAGCUAGUUGGUGGGGUAAAGGCCUACCAAGGCGACGAUCCGUAGCUGGUCUGAGAGGACGACCAGCCACACUGGGACUGAGACACGGCCCAGACUCCUACGGGAGGCAGCAAUGGGGAAUUUUGGACAAUGGGCGCAAGCCUGAUCCAGCAAUGCCGCGUGCGGGAAGAAGGCCUUCGGGUUGUAAACCGCUUUUGGCAGGAACGAAACGGUGUCCGCUAAUACCGGGCGCUAAUGACGGUACCUGCAGAAUAAGCACCGGCUAACUACGUG